Fundulus heteroclitus (mummichog) is the source of this 705-nucleotide long non-coding RNA. RefSeq lists it as uncharacterized. The transcript has 5 exons. Lineage: Eukaryota; Metazoa; Chordata; Actinopteri; Cyprinodontiformes; Fundulidae. The record is from RefSeq and is a predicted model, not a curated record.
CGGAGUUUAUCUUGAAGACAGUGACUUAAUAAGUGGUGACAUUACGACCAACAACAGUAACAAUGAAGUAGGGUAUUAUGUCCGACUGUUUUAUUAAGUUAUUUAUGUAAAACGAAGCUAGCUUGUUUCUUAGUUAGCUCAGCCGCUAACUAGCUAGCAUGCAUACGGCAGGGAGGAGCUUGAUACGGAAGCCGUGAAGUCAACCGCGCUGGCAGCGCGUUCUUUCUUUUCGUAUCAGUCUGGAAAGAGAGCGGAGGUGUUUCUGCGCAGGAGCUGUUUGUCUCUAAAUAUUAUAACACAGUUUUUUAAAAGAACUGUCUGUGGUUUUGGGACGACAGUGAACCGAGAAUGAGUAAAGCCCGGCUGAAGGAUACGAAGUAUUGCUGUGAGUGUCCGCCUGGAGGAGUCGCAGCUGGAUGAAUUCAAUCCAAGGAUGAUGGUAUAAUCGCAGGAUUAAAGCGGCUGUGGAGCAGCUGGUGAGAAUGGGAGUGAACCCUGACAUGGUGUUUGGAUGAAGACGAGUCUGAGAUCAGUUUGAAGGCCAACGCAGAGGAUCGCAGCUCAUUCUGGGACUCCCGUUAAUGGAAGGCAACGAUUUGCAUUCAGGUCUGCUUCCCAGAGGCCAAAUAAAGAACAUCUGUGUGGAAAGUAGUCCUUUUGUGUUUGUUACAUUUGCUAAAUAAAGUCUGAAUUGUGCAUAAAGUU